This 450-nucleotide ribosomal RNA is filed under the name uncultured bacterium. RNAcentral's name for it is "partial 16S ribosomal RNA". It matches the Rfam family "Bacterial small subunit ribosomal RNA", at positions 354 to 796 of the family's 1533-position model. The record is from RNAcentral.
GUGGGGAAUAUUGGACAAUGGGCGAAAGCCUGAUACAGCCAUGCCGCGUGUGUGAAGAAGGUCUUCGGAUUGUAAAGCACUUGAAGUUGGGAGGAAGGGCAGUAAGUUAAUACCUUGCUGUUUUGACGUUAUCGACAGAAUAAGCACCGGCUAACUUCGUGCCAGCAGCCGCGGUAAUACGAAGGGUGCAAGCGUUAAUCGGAAUUACUGGGCGUAAAGCGCGCGUAGGUGGUUUUGUUAGUUGUAGUUGAAAUCCCCGGGCUCAACCUGGGAACUGCAUCCAAGAAUGCAUGAGUAGAGUAAGGUAGAGGGUAGGGGAAUUUCCUGUGUAGCGGUGAAAGGCGUAGAUAUAGGAAGGAACACCAGUGGCGAAGGCGACUACCUGGACUGAUACUGACACGGAGGUGCGAAAGCGUGGGGAGCAAACAGGAUUAGAUACCCCUGUAGUCC